GUCGACGGUGAAGCCCAGCUUGCUGGGUGGAUCAGUGGCGAACGGGUGAGUAACACGUGAGUAACCUGCCCCUGACUCUGGGAUAAGCCUUGGAAACGAGGUCUAAUACCGGAUACGUGACGCUCAGGCAUCUGAUGCGUCUGGAAAGAUUUAUCGGUCAGGGAUGGACUCGCGGCCUAUCAGCUUGUUGGUGGGGUAACGGCCCACCAAGGCGACGACGGGUAGCCGGCCUGAGAGGGCGACCGGCCACACUGGGACUGAGACACGGCCCAGACUCCUACGGGAGGCAGCAGUGGGGAAUAUUGCACAAUGGGCGCAAGCCUGAUGCAGCGACGCCGCGUGAGGGAUGAAGGCCUUCGGGUUGUAAACCUCUUUCAGCAGGGAAGAAGCGCAAGUGACGGUACCUGCAGAAGAAGCGCCGGCUAACUACGUGCCAGCAGCCGCGGUAAUACGUAGGGCGCAAGCGUUGUCCGGAAUUAUUGGGCGUAAAGAGCUCGUAGGCGGUUUGUCGCGUCUGCUGUGAAAACUCGAGGCUCAACCUCGGGCUUGCAGUGGGUACGGGCAGACUAGAGUGCGGUAGGGGAGACUGGAAUUCCUGGUGUAGCGGUGGAAUGCGCAGAUAUCAGGAGGAACACCGAUGGCGAAGGCAGGUCUCUGGGCCGCAACUGACGCUGAGGAGCGAAAGCAUGGGGAGCGAACAGGAUUAGAUACCCUGGUAGUCCAUGCCGUAAACGUUGGGCACUAGGUGUGGGGCUCAUUCCACGAGUUCCGUGCCGCAGCAAACGCAUUAAGUGCCCCGCCUGGGGAGUACGGCCGCAAGGCUAAACUCAAGAAAUUGACGGGGGCCCGCACAAGCGGCGGACAUGCGGAUUAAUUCGAUGCAACGCGAAAACCUUACCAAGGCUUGACAUACACCGGAAACUUCCAGAAUGGUUGCCCCCAAGGUCGGUGUACAGGUGGUGCAUGGUUGUCGUCAGCU
RNAcentral lists this ribosomal RNA (979 nucleotides) under Cellulomonas sp. RNAcentral's name for it is "bacterial SSU rRNA". It matches the Rfam family "Bacterial small subunit ribosomal RNA", at positions 61 to 1060 of the family's 1533-position model. The record is from RNAcentral. Lineage: Bacteria; Bacillati; Actinomycetota; Actinomycetes; Micrococcales; Cellulomonadaceae.